AUGGCCCUGCUCAAGGCCGCGCGCGUCGCCGACGUCCCCACCCUCGACGUCGUCGUGCCGGACCACCUCACCGCCGCCGCGCGGGUCCUCGACGCGGAGUCGGUGGCGACGAUGAAGAGGCAGCAGCGCGGCGCGGGCCGGCGGUUCGCGGUGAUCGGGCACCGCGGCAAGGGGAUGAACGCGCUGGCGUCGCCGGACCGGCGGCUGCAGGAGGUGAAGGAGAACUCGGUCCGGUCGUUCAACGAGGCGGCGCGCUUCGCCGUCGACUACGUCGAGUUCGACGUCCAGGUCACCAAGGACGUCUGCCCAAUCAUCUUCCAUGACAACUUCAUCAUUACUGAGGAGCAUGGCAAAAUUUCAGAGAAGCGUGUCACUGAUCUUCAGUUGGAAGAUUUCCUCCAGUAUGGCCCACAAAACAAGCAAGGCAAGAAUGGGAAGCCUUUGCUGCGGAAAAUGAAGGACGGCCGGGUGUUGAAUUGGAGCGUUCAGUCAGAUGAUCCUCUUUGCACCCUUCAAGAAGCAUUCGAGAAGGUCAAUCCAAGAUUGGGCUUCAAUGUCGAGCUGAAAUUCGAUGACAAUCUUGUGUACCAAGAUGAGGAGCUCACUCACAUCCUCCAGGCCAUCCUCAAGGUGGUCUUCGAGUGUGCCAAGGAUAGGCCUAUCAUUUUCUCUAGCUUCCAGCCCGAUGCUGCGCAGCUCAUGCGAAAACUACAGAGCACAUACCCUGUGUACUUCUUGACGAACGGAGGGACAGAAGUCUACGCCGACGUGAGGAGGAACUCGUUGGAGGAGGCGGUCAAGCUGUGCCUCGCCACUGGCAUGCAAGGGAUCGUGUCCGAGGCCCGCGCGGUCUUCAGGUUCCCGACUGCCAUACCGAAGAUCAAGGAGGCUGACCUCUCCCUACUAACUUACGGGACACUCAAUAACGUGCCGGAGGCGGUGUACAUGCAGCACCUGAUGGGGGUGAACGGGGUCAUCGUCGACCUCGUGCCGGAGAUCACGGGGGCCGUCUCGGACCUCAUCGCUGUCCCGGAGAUCGACACGGAGAUCAAUGAUCUGAGCAGCCAAGCUGUGAAAGAUGCCGCGUCGACGCCAAAUUUCACGCAGCGGGAGAUUUCAUUCCUACUGAGGCUGAUGCCGGAGCUUGUGCAAUAA
Molecule: ribosomal RNA, 1155 nt
Filed under: Triticum aestivum (bread wheat)
Lineage: Eukaryota; Viridiplantae; Streptophyta; Magnoliopsida; Poales; Poaceae
Description: partial small subunit ribosomal RNA
Source: RNAcentral